RNAcentral lists this ribosomal RNA (524 nucleotides) under uncultured bacterium. RNAcentral's name for it is "partial 16S ribosomal RNA". It matches the Rfam family "Bacterial small subunit ribosomal RNA", at positions 28 to 523 of the family's 1533-position model. The record is from RNAcentral.
GACGAACGCUGGCGGCGUGCCUAAUACAUGCAAGUCGAGCGCAGGAAAUCGACGGAACCCUUCGGGGGGAAGUCGACGGAAUGAGCGGCGGACGGGUGAGUAACACGUAAAGAACCUGCCCUCAGGUCUGGGAUAACCACGAGAAAUCGGGGCUAAUACCGGAUGGGUCAUCGGACCGCAUGGUCCGAGGAUGAAAGGCGCUUCGGCGUCGCCUGGGGAUGGCUUUGCGGUGCAUUAGCUAGUGGGUGGGGUAAUGGCCCACCAAGGCGACGAUGCAUAGCCGACCUGGAGGGGUGAUCGGCCACAAUGGGACUGAGACACGGCCCAGACUCCUACGGGAGGCAGCAGUAGGGAAUCUUCCACAAUGGACGAAAGUCUGAUGGAGCAACGCCGCGUGAACGAUGAAGGCCUUCGGGUCGUAAAGUUCUGUUGUAAGGGAAGAACAAGUGCCGCAGGCAAUGGCGGCACCUUGACGGUACCUUGCGAGAAAGCCACGGCUAACUACGUGCCAGCCGCCGCGGUAA